Non-coding RNA from Thermococcus piezophilus, 102 nucleotides. The record is from Rfam. NCBI's taxonomy places the organism in Archaea, Methanobacteriati, Methanobacteriota, Thermococci, Thermococcales, Thermococcaceae.
GCGCCCAAACAGGGCGCGGAACACCCAGGCGCCAGACGGCGGCGUCGGGGGGAAAGGGUGCAAAGCACCCAAGAUGAACCCCGCCCUCCAGCCUGGGUCACA